Long non-coding RNA from Amphiprion ocellaris (clown anemonefish), 1111 nucleotides. RefSeq lists it as uncharacterized. Lineage: Eukaryota; Metazoa; Chordata; Actinopteri; Pomacentridae. The record is from RefSeq and is a predicted model, not a curated record. The transcript has 5 exons.
AUGGUCAAAAUGAGAGAUCAGGUGGCCGAUCUUAAAAUAAAUCAAUAUUGAUUUUUUUUAUAGAGCGUUAAAGUUUUGCGAAGCCAGGGGGCGGGGCUAUUUGAUUGACAGUCUGGUCUGGAAUGAUUGACAGGUCCUAUGGCGGAGGCAGCAGAGACUCUGCUCUCCUCGUUUGGAUUAAUUCUGAUAUAAUAACUGUUGGUUUAUUUAUCGGUAGAGCAGCAGAACCUUCUCCACAGACAGUUUUCCUGCUCGUUGGCUUUUUUUAACCAGUUUUCUGCCUUCGGCUGAUUCUACCAGGAGACACUGAAAGGACUCUGAUAGUUCGGUGUCUCAUGUUCACUGUGAGGAUCUUCUGAGUGAAGCCAACAGAAGGAAAACCUCAUCUGGAUGUGAAGAAGGAGACUGAAUGGACGACAUCCUCAAGUGAAAGUAGCAGUUCCUCCUGAAGGUCAGAGAUUGCAGCAUCUGAGGGCCUCUUCAAAAGAAGACUUAGUUGAUGAAGGCGUUCUGGAGCAGGACCAGAAAGACCACGACCAAGCAGCCUUGAGAUCUUAGGCAGCGUCUCCCUCUGGUCCCUCUCUAUCUCCCCACACAUCCACCAACCACUGGAACACAUCUCCAAAGUUCUGCUGGGCCAGCUCAGCUUCCCCUCAGAAGAAGUGGCGCCACCUGCCAGAUGAAGGAGCCUUUUGAGAGGCAGCUGGCAUCGUGAUUGGACUGUACUUUGGUCUGUUCCAAUCCAGCUUCAGCUCCAGAGACGGCAGGCGGGACGAGUCAACGGAGGCCGGGAUGGACGAAGGCAUGCAGCUGAGUACAAUCCAGAAAACAACAGAGGAGGAGUGCAGCGGCCCAGUAUAGCCUUUGACCAAAGAACUACAGACUCUUCACAACCUGCUCAAACUCUUGGUACAGGACCUCACCACACGGGUCAAGAAGGUUUCCUUCUCAUUUCUACUCUGAAGCUCACCUUCUCCUGCUCAAACUGCUGACAAAUGUUUCUGCUGCUCUAAAGUCUGGUCUCCAGAACUUCCUAAAAACUCUCAAAGUCUCUUCUGCUGCAGGUUGCUUUGUAGAACUGUUCCAGAAAACCUCACUAAACCACAUGGAG